GCUUUGCAAGCUCAUCCAUGACUUCAUAUGUCUCUUUAUCGGCAAAAAGCUUUAGGUUAUACCUUGCUGGUGGCGUUUGCACUACACCUUCCCACUUGUCCACCAGCUCUUUAAGUUUUUCAAAUCCCUGCAAGAAAUCGACAUCCUCAUCAGUUUCUGUGCCAUGAGUUCACUGUAUCAUAAAUGACUCACAAAGGAAUAUGGGUAAAAAUUGACAAAGGAAAUAGAAUACUUUCCUACUAGUGUGCCUGAAGAGAAUGAUGAUGGAAACAUGAUAGUUGUUCUGAGUACUUACAAUGCGGGCUGUGAAGUCACCAAAUGAUUCUUUUGGUUGUCUUUUUUGUUUCCAGUAGUAGAACAAAGGUUCAAAAACA
RNAcentral lists this long non-coding RNA (374 nucleotides) under Gossypium raimondii (Peruvian cotton). RNAcentral's name for it is "long non-coding RNA (GRAI_LNC000291)". The record is from RNAcentral. Lineage: Eukaryota; Viridiplantae; Streptophyta; Magnoliopsida; Malvales; Malvaceae.